Molecule: ribosomal RNA, 484 nt
Filed under: uncultured bacterium
Lineage: Bacteria
Description: partial 16S ribosomal RNA
Rfam family: Bacterial small subunit ribosomal RNA
Source: RNAcentral
AUUGAACGCUGGCGGCAGGCCUAACACAUGCCAGUCGAGCGGAUGAAGGGAGCUUGCUCCUGGAUUCAGCGGCGGACGGGUGAGUAAUGCCUAGGAAUCUGCCUGGUAGUGGGGGAUAACGUCCGGAAACGGGCGCUAAUACCGCAUACGUCCUGAGGGAGAAAGUGGGGGAUCUUCGGACAUCACGCUAUCAGAUGAGCCUAGGUCGGAUUAGCUAGUUGGUGGGGUAAAGGCCUACCAAGGCGACGAUCCGUAACUGGUCUGAGAGGAUGAUCAGUCACACUGGAACUGAGACACGGUCCAGACUCCUACGGGAGGCAGCAGUGGGGAAUAUUGGACAAUGGGCGAAAGCCUGAUCCAGCCAUGCCGCGUGUGUGAAGAAGGUCUUCGGAUUGUAAAGCACUUUAAGGUGGGAGGAAGGGCAGUAAGUUAAUACCUUGCUGUUUUGACGUUACCAACAGAAUAAGCACCGGCUAACUUCGUG